GGGAAGUAGCUCAGUUGGUAGAGUUUUAGCCUGUCACGCUAAAUGUCGUGGGUUCAAGUCCCAUUUUUCCC
This 71-nucleotide transfer RNA is filed under the name Mucochytrium quahogii. RNAcentral's name for it is "labyrinthulid quahog parasite QPX tRNA". It matches the Rfam family "tRNA". From Rfam's summary of the family: Transfer RNA (tRNA) molecules are approximately 80 nucleotides in length. The record is from RNAcentral. Lineage: Eukaryota; Bigyra; Thraustochytrida; Thraustochytriidae.